Molecule: ribosomal RNA, 449 nt
Filed under: uncultured bacterium
Lineage: Bacteria
Description: bacterial SSU rRNA
Rfam family: Bacterial small subunit ribosomal RNA
Source: RNAcentral
AACGAACGCUGGCGGCAUGCCUAACACAUGCAAGUCGAACGAGACCUUCGGGUCUAGUGGCGCACGGGUGCGUAACGCGUGGGAACCUGCCUUUAGGUUCGGAAUAACUCAGAGAAAUUUGAGCUAAUACCGGAUAAUGUCUUCGGACCAAAGAUUUAUCGCCUUUAGAUGGGCCCGCGUAAGAUUAGCUAGUUGGUGGGGUAAAGGCCUACCAAGGCGACGAUCUUUAGCUGGUCUGAGAGGAUGAUCAGCCACACUGGGACUGAGACACGGCCCAGACUCCUACGGGAGGCAGCAGUGGGAAUAUUGGACAAUGGGCGAAAGCCUGAUCCAGCAAUGCCGCGUGAGUGAUGAAGGCCUUAGGGUUGUAAAGCUCUUUUACCCGAGAUGAUAAUGACAGUAUCGGGAGAAUAAGCUCCGGCUAACUCCGUGCCAGCAGCCGCGGUAAU